RNAcentral lists this ribosomal RNA (331 nucleotides) under Enterococcus durans. RNAcentral's name for it is "bacterial SSU rRNA". It matches the Rfam family "Bacterial small subunit ribosomal RNA", at positions 78 to 403 of the family's 1533-position model. The record is from RNAcentral. Lineage: Bacteria; Bacillati; Bacillota; Bacilli; Lactobacillales; Enterococcaceae.
CACCGGAAAAAGAAGAGNGGCGAACGGGUGANUAACACGNGGGUAACCUGNCCAUCAGAAGGGGAUAACACUUGGAAACAGGUGCUAAUACCGUAUAACAAUCGAAACCGCAUGGUUUUGAUUUGAAAGGCGCUUUCGGGUGUCGCUGAUGGAUGGACCCGCGGUGCAUUAGCUAGUUGGUGAGGUAACGGCUCACCAAGGCCACGAUGCAUAGCCGACCUGAGAGGGUGAUCGGCCACAUUGGGACUGAGACACGGCCCAAACUCCUACGGGAGGCAGCAGUAGGGAAUCUUCGGCAAUGGACGAAAGUCUGACCGAGCAACGCCGCGUG